Molecule: ribosomal RNA, 468 nt
Filed under: uncultured bacterium
Lineage: Bacteria
Description: partial 16S ribosomal RNA
Rfam family: Bacterial small subunit ribosomal RNA
Source: RNAcentral
GACGAACGCUGGCGGCGUGCUUAACACAUGCAAGUCGAACGGAAAGGCCCUGCUUUUGUGGGGUGCUCGAGUGGCGAACGGGUGAGUAACACGUGAGUAACCUGCCCUUGACUUUGGGAUAACUUCAGGAAACUGGGGCUAAUACCGGAUAGGAGCUCCUGCUGCAUGGUGGGGGUUGGAAAGUUUCGGCGGUUGGGGAUGGACUCGCGGCUUAUCAGCUUGUUGGUGGGGUAGUGGCUUACCAAGGCUUUGACGGGUAGCCGGCCUGAGAGGGUGACCGGCCACAUUGGGACUGAGAUACAGCCCAGACUCCUACGGGAGGCAGUAGUGGGGAAUAUUGCACAAUGGGCGGAAGCCUGAUGCAGCAACGCCGCGUGCGGGAUGACGGCCUUCGGGUUGUAAACCGCUUUCGCCUGUGACGAAGCGUGAGUGACGGUAAUGGGUAAAGAAGCACCGGCUAACUACGUG